AGUGAACGCUGGCGGUAGGCCUAAUACAUGCAAGUCGAACGGCAGCAUAGUAAGAUCGUGCCCUUACGGGUGGCGGGUGACGGACGGGUGAGGCAUACAUCAGAUACUUCUUAUUCGGGGGGGACAACGGAGAACCACUUAUGCUACUACCGCAUACGUCCUACGGCUUAAAUCAAAGGAUCUUCGGAGCUUUCCUGACUGAAUUAGCCGAUGUCGCAUUAGCUAGUUGGCGGGGUAAAGGCACACCAAGGCAACGAUCCGUAGCUGGCCUGAGAGGAUGAUCGGCCACACUGGAACUGAGACACGGUCCAGACUCCUACGGGAGGCAGCAGUAGGGAAUAUUGCACAAUGGGCGCAAGCCUGAUCCAGCCACACCGCGUGAGUGAAGAAGGCCUUCGGGUCGUAAAGCCCUUUUAUUAGGAAAGAAAAGAAGCGGAAUAAUCCCCCGAUGUUCUGACGGUACCCAAAGAGUAAGCAACGGCUAACUUCGUG
RNAcentral lists this ribosomal RNA (492 nucleotides) under uncultured bacterium. RNAcentral describes it as "partial 16S ribosomal RNA". It matches the Rfam family "Bacterial small subunit ribosomal RNA", at positions 29 to 507 of the family's 1533-position model. The record is from RNAcentral.